GACGAACGCUGGCGGCGUGCUUAACACAUGCAAGUCGAACGGAAAGGCCCUGCUUUUGUGGGGUGCUCGAGUGGCGAACGGGUGAGUAACACGUGAGUAACCUGCCCUUGACUUUGGGAUAACUUCAGGAAACUGGGGCUAAUACCGGAUAGGAGCUCCUGCUGCAUGGUGGGGGUUGGAAAGUUUCGGCGGUUGGGGAUGGACUCGCGGCUUAUCAGCUUGUUGGUGGGGUAGUGGCUUACCAAGGCUUUGACGGGUAGCCGGCCUGAGAGGGUGACCGGCCACAUUGGGACUGAGAUACGGCCCAGACUCCUACGGGAGGCAGCAGUGGGGAAUAUUGCACAAUGGGCGGAAGCCUGAUGCAGCAACGCCGCGUGCGGGAUGACGGCCUUCGGGUUGUAAACCGCUUUCGCCUGUGACGAAGCGUGAGUGACGGUAAUGGGUAAAGAAGCACCGGCUAACUACGUGCCAGCAGCCGCAGUGAUACGUAGGGUGCGAGCGUUGUCCGGAUUUAUUGGGCGUAAAGGGCUCGUAGGUGGUUGAUCGCGUCGGAAGUGUAAUCUUGGGGCUUAGCCCUGAGCGUGCUUUCGAUACGGGUUGACUUGAGGAAGGUAGGGGAGAAUGGAAUUCCUGGUGGAGCGGUGGAAUGCGCAGAUAUCAGGAGGAACACCAGUGGCGAAGGCGGUUCUCUGGGCCUUUCCUGACGCUGAGGAGCGAAAGCGUGGGGAGCGAACAGGCUUAGAUACCCUGGUAGUCCACGCUGUAAACGGUGGGUACUAGGUGUGGGGUCCAUUCCACGGGUUCCGUGCCGUAGCUAACGCUUUAAGUACCCCGCCUGGGGAGUACGGCCGCAAGGCUAAAACUCAAAGGAAUUGACGGGGCCCCGCACAAGCGGCGGAGCAUGCGGAUUAAUUCGAUGCAACGCGUAGAACCUUACCUGGGUUUGACAUGGAUCGGGAGUGCUCAGAGAUGGGUGUGCCUCUUUUGGGGUCGGUUCACAGGUGGUGCAUGGCUGUCGUCAGCUCGUGUCGUGAGAUGUUGGGUUAAGUCCCGCAACGAGCGCAACCCUUGUUCACUGUUGCCAGCACGUUAUGGUGGGGACUCAGUGGAGACCGCCGGGGUCAACUCGGAGGAAGGUGGGGAUGACGUCAAGUCAUCAUGCCCCUUAUGUCCAGGGCUUCACGCAUGCUACAAUGGCUGGUACAGAGAGUGGCGAGCCUGUGAGGGUGAGCGAAUCUCGGAAAGCCGGUCUCAGUUCGGAUUGGGGUCUGCAACUCGACCUCAUGAAGUCGGAGUCGCUAGUAAUCGCAGAUCAGCAACGCUGCGGUGAAUACGUUCCCGGGGCUUGUACACACCGCCCGUCAAGUCAUGAAAGUUGGUAACACCCGAAGCCGGUGGCCUAACCGUUGUGGGGGAGCCGUCGAAGGUGGGACUGGUGAUUAGGACUAAGUCGUAACAAGGUAGCCGUACCGGAAGG
RNAcentral lists this ribosomal RNA (1477 nucleotides) under uncultured bacterium. RNAcentral's name for it is "16S ribosomal RNA". It matches the Rfam family "Bacterial small subunit ribosomal RNA". The record is from RNAcentral.